Capra hircus (goat) is the source of this 358-nucleotide long non-coding RNA. RefSeq lists it as uncharacterized. NCBI's taxonomy places the organism in Eukaryota, Metazoa, Chordata, Mammalia, Artiodactyla, Bovidae. The record is from RefSeq and is a predicted model, not a curated record. The transcript is spliced from 2 exons.
CCCCCGUGUGGGGGACCGGCCCGGGCUCGGGGCGGCUGAUUUGGGGUGGCCUGGAGGGAAACUGAGCUGGGAGUCAGCACUGCUCACAGCCCCACUCCAGAGCUGACCAGCCACCACCUUUCCCCAAGGAGUGAGGUGGGAAUGAGAUGACCCCGCGUGGCAACAGCUACAGACACAAAAGUGUUUUGCCCAACUGAGAGAAUCCAGUGUGAGAGACCACAUGCCAUUCUUGAUGUUCAUUUUCCAUGAAGGCAUAUAGAGAACCAACAACAACAACAACAAAAAACCCUCCUACACAUGUCCGAAUUGCUGCUUGCUCAUAUGUGCACACGUGGGCACACACAGUCUUCUGGAGAUA